CCUACGGGUGGCAGCAGUAGGGAAUCUUCCACAAUGGGCGAAAGCCUGAUGGAGCAACGCCGCGUGGGUGAAGAAGGUCUUCGGAUCGUAAAACCCUGUUGUUAGAGAAGAAAGUGCGUGAGAGUAACUGUUCACGCUUCGACGGUAUCUAACCAGCAAGCCACGGCUAACUACGUGCCAGCAGCCGCGGUAAUACGUAGGUGGCAAGCGUUAUCCGGAUUGAUUGGGCGUAAAGGGAACGCAGGUGGUCUUUUAAGUCUGAUGUGAAAGCCUUCGGCUUAACCGGAGUAGUGCAUUGGAUACUGGGAGGCUGGAGUGCAGAAGAGGAGAGUGGAACUCCAGGUGUAGCGGUGAAAUGCGUAGAUAUAUGGAAGAACACCAGUGGCGAAAGCGGCUCUCUGGUCUGUAACUGACGCUGAGGUUCGAAAGCGUGGGUAGCAAACAGGAUUAGAUACCCUAGUAGUC
RNAcentral lists this ribosomal RNA (465 nucleotides) under uncultured bacterium. RNAcentral describes it as "partial 16S ribosomal RNA". It matches the Rfam family "Bacterial small subunit ribosomal RNA", at positions 338 to 795 of the family's 1533-position model. The record is from RNAcentral.